CCUACGGGCGGCUGCAGUGGGGAAUCUUCCGCAAUGGACGAAAGUCUGACGGAGCAACGCCGCGUGAGUGAUGAAGGUUUUCGGACUGUAAAACUCUGUUGUCAGGGACGAAGGUGCGAGCUGCGAACAGUUGAUCGUAUUGACGGUACCUGACGAGGAAGCCACGGCUAACUACGUGCCAGCAGCCGCGGUAAUACGUAGGUGGCAAGCGUUGUCCGGAAUUAUUGGGCGUAAAGAGCAUGUAGGUGGGCUUUUAAGUCCGAUGUGAAAAUGCGGGGCUCAACCCCGUAUGGCAUUGGAUACUGGAAGCCUUGAGUGCAGGAGAGGAAAGGGGAAUUCCCAGUGUAGCGGUGAAAUGCGUAGAUAUUGGGAGGAACACCAGUGGCGAAGGCGCCUUUCUGGACUGUGUCUGACACUGAGAUGCGAAAGCUAGGGUAGCAAACGGGAUUAGAUACCCCAGUAGUC
This 465-nucleotide ribosomal RNA is filed under the name uncultured Acidaminococcus sp. RNAcentral describes it as "bacterial SSU rRNA". It matches the Rfam family "Bacterial small subunit ribosomal RNA", at positions 338 to 795 of the family's 1533-position model. The record is from RNAcentral. Lineage: Bacteria; Bacillati; Bacillota; Negativicutes; Acidaminococcales; Acidaminococcaceae.